Molecule: long non-coding RNA, 364 nt
Filed under: Ananas comosus (pineapple)
Lineage: Eukaryota; Viridiplantae; Streptophyta; Magnoliopsida; Poales; Bromeliaceae
Description: long non-coding RNA (ACOM_LNC016898)
Source: RNAcentral
AAAUGUGAAUAAAAAAUAUAUUUCUAUAAUAUAAUAAAUUACUAAAUAUUUUAUAUUUUAUAAUAUAUAUUAUACUAUAUUUUAUAUUUUAUUUUAUAAUACUAACUAUUAGGUAUUUUAUGAAUCAUCUAAUAUACUUACAAUGUAUGAAAUAUUAGUAUAUAUCAGGUGCAAGCAAAAAUUUCUCCUCUUUUUUUUUUUACUAUGAAAAAGAGCUUUUCAAAGAGCCCGGUUCAUAAUUAAGCAUUCUUUAUACUGAAUGUAUAUAAUUACAUACACCACAUGCUUCAAAUCUCUAAUAGUGGUUUAAAAUUUAAAUCAGAAUAUAUUUAAAUUAUUAGACUUCAUAGCUUAGAUAUAUUUA